CGGGAAACCGGAGCUAAUACCGGAUAAUAUUUUGAACCGCAUGGUUCAAAAGUGAAAGACGGUCUUGCUGUCACUUAUAGAUGGAUCCGCGCUGCAUUAGCUAGUUGGUAAGGUAACGGCUUACCAAGGCAACGAUGCAUAGCCGACCUGAGAGGGUGAUCGGCCACACUGGAACUGAGACACGGUCCAGACUCCUACGGGAGGCAGCAGUAGGGAAUCUUCCGCAAUGGGCGAAAGCCUGACGGAGCAACGCCGCGU
This 258-nucleotide ribosomal RNA is filed under the name Staphylococcus aureus. RNAcentral's name for it is "partial 16S ribosomal RNA". It matches the Rfam family "Bacterial small subunit ribosomal RNA", at positions 150 to 402 of the family's 1533-position model. The record is from RNAcentral. Lineage: Bacteria; Bacillati; Bacillota; Bacilli; Caryophanales; Staphylococcaceae.